RNAcentral lists this long non-coding RNA (365 nucleotides) under Homo sapiens (human). RNAcentral's name for it is "HSALNT0394363". Lineage: Eukaryota; Metazoa; Chordata; Mammalia; Primates; Hominidae. The record is from RNAcentral.
CUCAAGCAAGGUCCACUUGCAGUGAAAUAAACCAGAGGUUUGAAUCAUGGCUUGAUACGAAAUUAUUGGAAAGAAUAUGGCGAUGACAUCCACAAUGCCGAGUGCACACCUUCUACUUAUUAAAAAAAAAAACAAACUGUAAAACAGCAUCAUGCAGGUUCUUCAGGAGAGAUUCCAGAGGAAGGCAUUGUUGUGGUAGAAGAUGACAGUUCCACAGGUGUUACUAGCCAUGAAGAUCUUCCAGUGAGACAAGAUGUGGAGGUGGAAGACAGUGAUAUUGAUGAUUCUGAUCCUGUUGUUAUAAAUAAAGUUUCGGUUCCACAAAAGAAAUAGCACUUGAACAUAAAAUUUUCUUAUUUUCUUCA